AUUGAACGCUGGCGGCAGGCUUAACACAUGCAAGUCGAGCGGGGUGAUGGUGCUUGCACUAUCACUUAGCGGCGGACGGGUGAGUAAUGCUUAGGAAUCUGCCUAUUAGUGGGGGACAACAUCUCGAAAGGGAUGCUAAUACCGCAUACGUCCUACGGGAGAAAGCAGGGGAUCACUUGUGACCUUGCGCUAAUAGAUGAGCCUAAGUCGGAUUAGCUAGUUGGUGGGGUAAAGGCCUACCAAGGCGACGAUCUGUAGCGGGUCUGAGAGGAUGAUCCGCCACACUGGGACUGAGGCACGGCCCAGACUCCUACGGGAGGCAGCAGUGGGGAAUAUUGGACAAUGGGGGGAACCCUGAUCCAGCCAUGCCGCGUGUGUGAAGAAGGCCUUAUGGUUGUAAAGCACCUUAAGCGAGGAGGAGGCUCUUUUGGUUAAUACCCAAGAUGAGUGGACGUUACUCGCAGAAUAAGCACCGGCUAACUCUGUGCCAGCCGCCGCAGUAA
RNAcentral lists this ribosomal RNA (503 nucleotides) under uncultured bacterium. Its description in RNAcentral is "partial 16S ribosomal RNA". It matches the Rfam family "Bacterial small subunit ribosomal RNA", at positions 30 to 523 of the family's 1533-position model. The record is from RNAcentral.